This is a non-coding RNA of Cordylochernes scorpioides, 115 nucleotides long. Lineage: Eukaryota; Metazoa; Arthropoda; Arachnida; Pseudoscorpiones; Chernetidae. The record is from the annotation of a GenBank genome assembly.
AUGGCCAUACCACAUUGAAAACAUCGGUUCUCGUCCGAUCACCGAAGUUAAGCAAUGUCGGGCCUGGUCAGUACUUGGGAGGGUGACCACCUGGGAACACCGGGUGCUCUAAGCU